Molecule: ribosomal RNA, 253 nt
Filed under: uncultured bacterium
Lineage: Bacteria
Description: partial 16S ribosomal RNA
Rfam family: Bacterial small subunit ribosomal RNA
Source: RNAcentral
UACGUAGGGUGCAAGCGUUAAUCGGAAUUACUGGGCGUAAAGCGUGCGCAGGCGGUUUUGUAAGUCUGACGUGAAAUCCCCGGGCUUUACCUGGGAAUGGCGAUGGAGACUGCAAGGCUGGAAUCUGGCAGAGGGGGGUAGAAUUCCACGUGUAGCAGUGAAAUGCGUAGAUAUGUGGAGGAACACCGAUGGCGAAGGCGGCCCCCUGGGUCAAAACUGACGCUCAUGCACGAAAGCGUGGGGAGCAAACAGG